RNAcentral lists this ribosomal RNA (466 nucleotides) under uncultured bacterium. RNAcentral describes it as "partial 16S ribosomal RNA". It matches the Rfam family "Bacterial small subunit ribosomal RNA", at positions 28 to 507 of the family's 1533-position model. The record is from RNAcentral.
GACGAACGCUGGCGGCGUGCUUAACACAUGCAAGUCGAACGGUAAGGCCCCAGCUUGCUGGGGUACACGAGUGGCGAACGGGUGAGUAACACGUGGGUGACCUGCCCUGCACUUCGGGAUAAGCCUGGGAAACUGGGUCUAAUACCGGAUAGGACCAUGGUGUGGAUACUGUGGUGGAAAGUUUUUUCGGUGUGGGAUGGGUCCGCGGCCUAUCAGCUUGUUGGUGGGGUAUUGGCCUACCAAGGCGGCGACGGGUAGCCGGCCUGAGAGGGUGGACGGCCACAUUGGGACUGAGACACGGCCCAGACUCCUACGGGAGGCAGCAGUGGGGAAUAUUGCACAAUGGGCGGAAGCCUGAUGCAGCGACGCCGCGUGGGGGAUGACGGCCUUCGGGUUGUAAACUCCUUUCACCAUCGACGAAGGGUUUCUGACGGUAGAUGGAGAAGAAGCACCGGCUAACUACGUG